RNAcentral lists this transfer RNA (72 nucleotides) under Halomonadaceae bacterium. Its description in RNAcentral is "tRNA-Val". It matches the Rfam family "tRNA". From Rfam's summary of the family: Transfer RNA (tRNA) molecules are approximately 80 nucleotides in length. The record is from RNAcentral. Lineage: Bacteria; Pseudomonadati; Pseudomonadota; Gammaproteobacteria; Oceanospirillales; Halomonadaceae.
CGCGGUGUAGCUUAGCGGCAAGAUCAGUGGGCACACAACCCAUGUACGCCGGUUCGAAUCCGGCCACUGCAU